CGCCUCUAAGGAUUAGAGAAACCUAAGCACACAAUACAUCAGUAAGACAACUUAAGGAGAUCAUGAACGCCAUUCACGCUAUACAACAACUCAACAAUUAUGUACUCAGUAAAAAUGUAAUAAUGUAAUGAUCCAAAUAUGCUCUUCAAAAACUUGACCUCUUUCAACUUUUAGCAUGUGUAAGUUUGCUAAACCUUAGCAAAAGACUAUUGCAAUUACAGUAUAUCAUACAUUUUCACGAAUAUAGGAGUAUUGCAAUUACAGUAUAUCAUACAUUUUCACGAAUAUAGGAG
This 293-nucleotide unclassified non-coding RNA is filed under the name Hevea brasiliensis (rubber tree). Lineage: Eukaryota; Viridiplantae; Streptophyta; Magnoliopsida; Malpighiales; Euphorbiaceae. The record is from RNAcentral.